RNAcentral lists this ribosomal RNA (253 nucleotides) under uncultured bacterium. RNAcentral describes it as "partial 16S ribosomal RNA". It matches the Rfam family "Bacterial small subunit ribosomal RNA", at positions 524 to 776 of the family's 1533-position model. The record is from RNAcentral.
UACAGAGGGCGCAAGCGUUGUUCGGAUUCAUUGGGCGUAAAGGGUGCGUAGGCGGCGCGGUAAGUCGGGUGUGAAAUCUCGGGGCUUAACUCCGAAACUGCAUUCGAUACUGCCGUGCUUGAGGACUGGAGAGGAGACUGGAAUUUACGGUGUAGCGGUGAAAUGCGUAGAUAUCGUAAGGAAGACCAGUGGCGAAGGCGGGUCUCUGGACAGUUCCUGACGCUGAGGCACGAAGGUCAGGGGAGCAAACGGG